AUUGAACGCUGGCGGCAGGCCUAACACAUGCAAGUCGAGCGGAUGAAGGGAGCUUGCUCCUGGAUUCAGCGGCGGACGGGUGAGUAAUGCCUAGGAAUCUGCCUGGUAGUGGGGGAUAACGUCCGGAAACGGGCGCUAAUACCGCAUACGUCCUGAGGGAGAAAGAGGGGGAUCUUCGGACCUCACGCUAUCAGAUGAGCCUAGGUCGGAUUAGCUAGUUGGUGGGGUAAAGGCCUACCAAGGCGACGAUCCGUAACUGGUCUGAGAGGAUGAUCAGUCACACUGGAACUGAGACACGGUCCAGACUCCUACGGGAGGCAGCAGUGGGGAAUAUUGGACAAUGGGCGAAAGCCUGAUCCAGCCAUACCGCGUGUGUGAAGAAGGUCUUCGGAUUGUAAAGCACUUUAAGUUGGGAGGAAGGGCAGUAAGUUAAUACCUUGCUGUUUUGACGUUACCAACAGAAUAAGCACCGGCUAACUUCGUG
This 484-nucleotide ribosomal RNA is filed under the name uncultured bacterium. RNAcentral describes it as "partial 16S ribosomal RNA". It matches the Rfam family "Bacterial small subunit ribosomal RNA", at positions 30 to 507 of the family's 1533-position model. The record is from RNAcentral.